This 405-nucleotide long non-coding RNA is filed under the name Homo sapiens (human). RNAcentral's name for it is "HSALNT0320167". The record is from RNAcentral. Lineage: Eukaryota; Metazoa; Chordata; Mammalia; Primates; Hominidae.
UAUUUUGGCCAGGAGCUGAAGUUGGUUGUUUAGUAGUAGUAGUUUGAGUAGUGACCGAAGUAGUAGUCUGGUGUGUGGGUGCAAGAGUAGUUGGGGAAGAAUUAGGUGUGGUAAUUGGGGCAGCUGUGGUCUCUUGUGGAGCUGGGGAAGACGGUGGAGCUGGUGUAGUUGCAGAAGGUGUGGGUGGGGCAGCUGUGGUGUCUUGUGGAGCUGGGGAAUUCACUGGUGCUAAUGUAGCUACAGAAGAGCUUGUGUUAACAUUUUCUCUUGAAGAUAUGGUGGUGGCAUUCUGGGGAAGAAAAGUCACAUUUGGAAGGGUAGUAAUUUUGGUGGCUGGUGAGGAUUUGGGAAUUUGGGGGGGUUAUUAGGUGAAGGUGGAAGCUUAGGCCUACAGCGUUUGUGCAG